ACCAGACUCCUACGGGAGGCAGCAGUGGGGGAUAUUGCACAAUGGGGGGAACCCUGAUGCAGCGACGCCGCGUGGGUGAAGGAGUAUUUCGGUAUGUAAAGCCCUAUCGGCAGGGAAGAAAUUGGACGGUACCUGACUAAGAAGCCCCGGCUAACUACGUGCCAGCAGCCGCGGGAAUACGUAGGGGGCAAGCGUUAUCCGGAUUCACUGGGUGUAAAGGGAGCGUAGACGGCCAGGCAAGCCUGGAGUGAAAGCCCGGGGCCCAACCCCGGGACUGCUCUGGGAACUGUCCGGCUGGAGUGCGGGAGGGGCAGGCGGAAUUCCUGGCGUAGCGGUGAAAUGCGUAGAUAUCAGGAGGAACACCGGUGGCGAAGGCGGCCUGCUGGACUGCAACUGACGUUGAGGCCCGAAAGCGUGGGGAGCAAACAGGAUUAGAUACCCGUGUAUA
This 448-nucleotide ribosomal RNA is filed under the name uncultured bacterium. Its description in RNAcentral is "bacterial SSU rRNA". It matches the Rfam family "Bacterial small subunit ribosomal RNA", at positions 330 to 794 of the family's 1533-position model. The record is from RNAcentral.